Molecule: unclassified non-coding RNA, 670 nt
Filed under: plant metagenome
Description: partial contains small subunit ribosomal RNA and internal transcribed spacer 1
Rfam family: Group I catalytic intron (bases 30-447)
About the family: Group I catalytic introns are large self-splicing ribozymes. They catalyse their own excision from mRNA, tRNA and rRNA precursors in a wide range of organisms.
Source: RNAcentral
AAGUCGUAACAAGGUUUCCGUAGCAUAAGUUAUGGGGCAAUCAGCAAUGAUUCUUCCGCAGUGAAACUUAUAGAAGCCUUUGCAGCCUCGCAAGAGGUCUGUUCCCCGCGACCCUAAACAAUGAGGGCAGCCCGUGGCCUGGAGCCUCGGGUGCAAGUCGGUCACGGCCGGCGACACUUUCGAAUUGCGGGGGAUCCCCUAAAGCCCAGCUCUACCAACCCGGCGAGGAAACUCGGUCGGGGGCUCAUGCUAACACCAUGAGGUGCGGUAAAAAGGAGCUGGGAUACUUCUGCCCUCGGGUGGAGACUAUGGGCAAUCCGCAGCCAAGGCCCUACGGUGUUGCCUGCAGAGGCGGUGCCCACGGGGACAGGUUCACAGACUAAGUGGAAGUGGGUGGGGCCGCCGGCCCUGCUUAAGAUAUAGUCGGGCCUCUGGGGAAACCUAGGGGGGUGAUUCACUGCAUAUGAACCGUUCCGUAGGUGAACCUGCGGAAGGAUCAUUACCGAGUAAGGGUCUCUCAGGCCCGAUCUCCUACCCUAUGUGUACCUACCUCUGUUGCUUUUGGCGGGCCCGCUGGGGCAACCCACCGUCGGCUUCGGCUGCCGAGCGUCCGCCAGAGACCGUCCAAACUCUGUUUAUCAGUGUCGUCUGAGAAAAACACAUAGUUAAA